This 470-nucleotide unclassified non-coding RNA is filed under the name Hevea brasiliensis (rubber tree). The record is from RNAcentral. Lineage: Eukaryota; Viridiplantae; Streptophyta; Magnoliopsida; Malpighiales; Euphorbiaceae.
CAAUUAAGUAUUUGUUAUUGUUCAUUAUUUAUACUUGACAUUUCAAAAUCAUUAUGUCAUAAAAUAAUGUCGUCUUAUUGGCGGCAAUAACCCCGUGUACAAUAACCUAACAAGAAGAAGAAGGUAGGAAAGACCUCUAAGAUUCCCAAUUAUCAGUACAUGAUAAGGAUGCUUUUCCUCUUUGCUUAUUCAUUCAUUGAUCACCAACAGAAAGGACCAUCUCUCUAAGUUUUCACAGGAUCUGGGACCUGCUUUUGAUGUUGCUCGAGGGUAAUAUUACAGUUGUUCAUCGUGCGGGCAUCGAGGAGACCAUGAUUCCAUAAUUUUAUCAGAAACAAUCUCCAACACCAAAGUAAGGCUGGGACACAGGCAAGAUCAUGCCCAUGCAAUCUUGAGAAUGCCUCGCAUGCCCAAGGGAUAUGACCAUCUGCCAACACACGCUGCUUCCUCACAAAGGAGUUCCACAAGUG